AGGACGAACGCUGGCGGCGCGCCUAACACAUGCAAGUCGAACGAAGCUAAGAUUGCGGAAGUUUCGGAUGGAAGUGAACUUAGCUUAGUGGCGAACGGGUGAGUAACACGUGAGUAACCUGCCCUUCAGUGGGGGACAACAGUUGGAAACGACUGCUAAUACCGCAUAAGACCACAGUGCCACAUGGCACAGUGAUCAAAGGAUUAAUUUUCGCUGAAGGAUGGACUCGCGUCUGAUUAGCUAGAUGGUGAGGUAACGGCCCACCAUGGCAACGAUCAGUAGCCGGACUGAGAGGUUGAUCGGCCACAUUGGGACUGAGACACGGCCCAGACUCCUACGGGAGGCAGCAGUGGGGGACAUUGCACAAUGGAGGAAACUCUGAAUGCAGCGACGCCGCGUGAGGGAAGAAGGUUUUCGGAUUGUAAACCUCUGUCUUCGGGGACGAAACAAAUGACGGUACUCGAGGAGGAAGCCACGGCUAACUACGUGCCAGCAGCUGC
RNAcentral lists this ribosomal RNA (500 nucleotides) under uncultured bacterium. RNAcentral's name for it is "bacterial SSU rRNA". It matches the Rfam family "Bacterial small subunit ribosomal RNA", at positions 26 to 518 of the family's 1533-position model. The record is from RNAcentral.